CAACAGCCAUUAUUUACUUGAUCUUGAUAUCCUACUUGGAUAACUGUGGUAAUUCUAGAGCUAAUACAUGCACCAAAGCUCCGAUUUUUUGACGAGCGCAUUUAUUAGAACAAAACCAAUCGGGUGAACGCCCGCCCAUUGGUGACUCUGAAUAACUUCAGCUGAUCGCAUGGUCUUGUACCGGCGACGUGUCUAUCAAGUGUCUGCCUUAUCAACUGUCGAUGGUAGUUUAUGUGCCUACCAUGGUGGUAACGGGUAACGGAGAAUAAGGGUUCGACUCCGGAGAGGGAGCCUGAGAAACGGCUACCACAUCCAAGGAAGGCAGCAGGCGCGCAAAUUACCCACUCUCGGCACGAGGAGGUAGUGACGAAAAAUAACGGGACCGUUCUCUAUGAGGCCGGUUAUCGGAAUGGGUACAAUUUAAACCCUUUAACGAGGAUCUAUGAGAGGGCAAGUCUGGUGCCAGCAGCCGCGGUAAUUCCAGCUCUCAAAGUGUAUAUCGUCAUUGCUGCGGUUAAAAAGCUCGUAGUUGGAUCUGCGCCGCAGAAUCUGGUCCACCCACUGGGUGAGAACUGGACUUCUCGGCUAAUACUGCUGGUUUUCCCUACGUUGCCUUCACCGGUCGCGUAGGGUGGCUAGCGAGUUUACUUUGAAAAAAUUAAAGUGCUUAACACAGGCUGGUGCCUGAAUAUUCGUGCAUGGAAUAAUGGAAUAGGAUCUCGGUUCUAUUUUGUUGGUUUUCUGAUCUGAGAUAAUGGUUAAGAGGGACAGACGGGGGCAUUCGUAUCGCUGCGUGAGAGGUGAAAUUCUUGGACCGUAGCGAGACGUCCGACUGCGAAAGCAUUUGCCAAGAAUGUCUUCAUUAAUCAAGAACGAAAGUCAGAGGUUCGA
This 891-nucleotide ribosomal RNA is filed under the name Rondonia rondoni. RNAcentral's name for it is "SSU rRNA". It matches the Rfam family "Eukaryotic small subunit ribosomal RNA", at positions 104 to 1001 of the family's 1831-position model. The record is from RNAcentral. Lineage: Eukaryota; Metazoa; Nematoda; Chromadorea; Rhabditida; Atractidae.